This 330-nucleotide ribosomal RNA is filed under the name uncultured eukaryote. RNAcentral describes it as "partial 18S ribosomal RNA". It matches the Rfam family "Eukaryotic small subunit ribosomal RNA", at positions 1470 to 1796 of the family's 1831-position model. The record is from RNAcentral.
ACCUUAGAUGUUCGGGGCCGCACGCGCGCUACACUGAAGGAAUCAGCACGUCUUUCUCCUUGUCCGAAAGGACUGGGUAACCCGCUGAACCUCCUUCGUGCUAGGGAUUGGGGCUUGUAAUUCUUCCCCAUGAACGAGGAAUUCCCAGUAAGCGCGAGUCAUAAGCUCGCGUUGAUUACGUCCCUGCCCUUUGUACACACCGCCCGUCGCUACUACCGAUUGGAUGGUUUAGUGAGAUCCUCGGAUUGGUCCCGGCGCGGCCUCUGGUCGUGCCGGAGUGCCGAAAAGAAUGUCGAACUUGAUCAUCUAGAGGAAGUAAAAGUCGUAACA